Molecule: ribosomal RNA, 301 nt
Filed under: uncultured bacterium
Lineage: Bacteria
Description: partial 16S ribosomal RNA
Rfam family: Bacterial small subunit ribosomal RNA
Source: RNAcentral
CAGCCGCCACGGGAAUACGGAGGGGGCUAGCGUUGUUCGGAAUUACUGGGCGUAAAGCGCACGUAGGCGGCUUUGUAAGUCAGAGGUGAAAGCCUGGAGCUCAACUCCAGAAUUGCCUUUGAGACUGCAUCGCUUGAACGUCGGAGAGGUGAGUGGAAUUCCGAGUGUAGAGGUGAAAUUCGUAGAUAUUCGGAAGAACACCAGUGGCGAAGGCGGCUCACUGGACGACUGUUGACGCUGAGGUGCGAAAGCGUGGGGAGCAAACAGGAUUAGAUACCCGUGUAGUCCCUGUCUCUUAUAU